This 125-nucleotide small RNA is filed under the name Marmota monax (woodchuck). Lineage: Eukaryota; Metazoa; Chordata; Mammalia; Rodentia; Sciuridae. The record is from RNAcentral.
GCCAGGUGUGGUGGUGCACACCUGUAAUCCCAGCAGCUUGGGAGGCUGAGGCAGGAGGAUUGCAAGUUCAAAGCUAGCCUCAGCAAAGGUGAGGUGCUAAGCAAUUCAGUGAGACCCUGUCUCUA